GGCCAUCUUCUGUUCGUAUACUUGAGGCAUUGUAUGUUGAUCCUGCAUCUGGUGUAUCCCUUGAUAAGGAGAAGAUCACUAAAGCAGUGAAACCAGUGGUAAGCACAUCAUCAGCACUAGCAAAGUUAACCAAGUCAAGUACUUCUGGGGGUCCCUUGAAGCAGCAGCCAGGGGAGAAAAAAGAAACUCCUCAGGAGAGACUUAAAAGGAUCAUGAGCAAACAGC
RNAcentral lists this unclassified non-coding RNA (225 nucleotides) under Hevea brasiliensis (rubber tree). Lineage: Eukaryota; Viridiplantae; Streptophyta; Magnoliopsida; Malpighiales; Euphorbiaceae. The record is from RNAcentral.